GGCAAGAACGUGGUUUCGGGUUGACUUUUGAGCCGGUUCGAGAUCCAGGUACCUCCACUCAGACUCAUCACGCUUGAGACAAGGCGCUUGUAGAGACUCCGAGAUCCAGGUACCUCCACUCAGACUCAUCAAGCUUGAGACGAGGCGCUUGUAGAGACUCCGAGGUAUAUCUACCGCUUCCGCAGACCAAAGAAUCCCUUUCUACUCCCCCUUUUUAUUAUUAGCCCUUCUGUAUUUUCCUUUCCUUUAUUAGAUAUUCUGGAGUUAGAUACUAGUAGACAUUCAAAGGCUUGUGAUCAUGAGAUUCCGAGUUUUGGGAAAUGUGUUCAGAUUUCGAGAGUUGUUAUUGUGUAUGCCGAGCAACACUUUUAAACACCAUUUUAUUUCACUAUUGUUCUUAUAUUUUCUUCCGCAAUUGGUUUAUUUUCCGCAUUGUUAGGAUUACCCAGUCGUAGAGACUGGGUGCCGUCACGAUGGUUCACGGAGGGCGAACCGGGGUCGUGACAAUUUUGC
This is a non-coding RNA of Nicotiana tabacum (common tobacco), 513 nucleotides long. The record is from RefSeq and is a predicted model, not a curated record. Lineage: Eukaryota; Viridiplantae; Streptophyta; Magnoliopsida; Solanales; Solanaceae.